RNAcentral lists this transfer RNA (65 nucleotides) under Coleoptera sp. 12 KM-2017. RNAcentral describes it as "tRNA-Ser". Lineage: Eukaryota; Metazoa; Arthropoda; Insecta; Coleoptera. The record is from RNAcentral.
AGUCAAUGAGCUUGUAAAGCAUAUAUUUUGAAAAUAUAAGAAAGGUUCCUUUAACCUAUUGGCUU